GUACGUCGCUACGUCCGGUCUCUAGCCCGGACGCUCCGCCGGUCGCCUUCUGCAGAAGAGCUUCUCCUCAUCAACUGGGGAUGAUUACAGUUCUUCCUAAAAAAGCCUACUUGAUGUGAAGACAAUGAGGAUGAAGACCUUUAUGGUGAUCCACUUCCACUUAAUGAAUAGAUGGCUGCUCUUUUUCUAAAGAGGUUAACACUACAAACUGUAAAGUCUGAAAAUAGUUGCAUUAGAUGUUUUGGUAAACACAUCGUGCAAAAGACAGCACCAACACAGUUGUCCCCUAUUGCUUCUGCCCCAAGACUCUCCUUCCUAAUUCAUGCAAAAGCCUUUAGUAACGCUGAAGACACCCAGAAUGAAGGAAAAAAGAAAAAAAAGAAUAAAACAGCUUUUAGUAACAUUGGAAGAAAAAUUAGUCAGCGAAUUAUUCACUUAUUUGAUGAGAAGGGCAAUGAUUUGGGAAACAUGCAUCGAGCAAAUGUGAUUAGACUUAUGGAUGAGCGACACCUGCGACUGGUUGAAAGGAACACCAGCACAGAACCUGCAGAGUACCAGCUCAUGACAGGACUGCAGAUCUUCCAGGAGCAGCAGAGGCUGAGGGAGAUGGAGAAGGCGAGCCCCAAAACUGGACCAACCGUAAGAAAGGAACUGAUUUUGUCUUCAAAUAUUGGACAACAUGAUUUGGACACAAAGACUAAACAGAUUCAGCAGUGGAUUAAGAAAAAACACCUAGUCCAGAUUACUAUAAAGAAAGGAAAAAAUGUAGACGUGUCAGAAAAUGAAAUG
RNAcentral lists this small RNA (789 nucleotides) under Pongo abelii (Sumatran orangutan). RNAcentral describes it as "processed transcript". The record is from RNAcentral. Lineage: Eukaryota; Metazoa; Chordata; Mammalia; Primates; Hominidae.